AAUGGGAGCAACAUUAGAUCAAGAUGUAAAUGUAAAUAAAAAACUUUAUGGUUCAUGUAAAAUAAAAAUGUACUACUGUGCUUCAUCAAUGCUACUUUCCUAGCCAACCCUACCACCACCUACCUUGCCUUAUCCUUUUGAAUUUGUCCUGUUUUGGUUUCUUGUGUUUGUGUAGUUUUUCUGUUUCCUUCUAAGCAACAAGGUAGUGAAGUGUUUUUAAGUACAUAUAUAGUGUUGUGUUAGUAUUUUCUUUUCUCUCGUUUUAGCUACGAAUUUUUUAAGUUUUUAGGAGCAACUCUUUAUCUAAUCCAAGCGCCGGAAGUCACAUAUAACAUUUUUAAUAAGUUUGUCUUGAUAGCGCAACAUAGAUUGCUUGCAGUGCAAACUAGGGUUUUUCUAUGAAUUUAGGGUUGAGAAAAUAAGUUUAAAAAAAAAAAUUCAUUGGAAUGAUGUAUUUGAUACCUUAUCUUUAGAAAUUGACUUUUUUAC
Molecule: long non-coding RNA, 489 nt
Filed under: Medicago truncatula (barrel medic)
Lineage: Eukaryota; Viridiplantae; Streptophyta; Magnoliopsida; Fabales; Fabaceae
Description: long non-coding RNA (MTRU_LNC008743)
Source: RNAcentral